Non-coding RNA from Cordylochernes scorpioides, 65 nucleotides. The record is from the annotation of a GenBank genome assembly. Lineage: Eukaryota; Metazoa; Arthropoda; Arachnida; Pseudoscorpiones; Chernetidae.
GCAUCGGUGGCUCAGUGGUAGGGCCUGCCACGCGGGCGGCCAGGGUUCGAUUCCCGGCCGAUGCA